RNAcentral lists this ribosomal RNA (618 nucleotides) under uncultured Actinomycetes bacterium. RNAcentral's name for it is "bacterial SSU rRNA". It matches the Rfam family "Bacterial small subunit ribosomal RNA", at positions 8 to 638 of the family's 1533-position model. Lineage: Bacteria; Bacillati; Actinomycetota; Actinomycetes. The record is from RNAcentral.
AGAGUUUGAUCCUGGCUCAGGACGAACGCUGGCGGCGGGCUUAACACAUGCAAGUCGAACGAGGUCCAUUCUGUAGCAAUACAGAGGAAGACCUAGUGGCGAACGGGUGAGGAACACGUGAGGAACCUGCCCCGAACUUUGGGAUAACAGUUGGAAACGACUGCUAAUACCGAAUGCCGUUACGAAGUGGCAUCACUUUGUAACGAAAGAAUUUCGGUUCGGGAGGGCCUCGCGGCCUAUCAGCUAGUUGGUGGGGUAAUGGCCUACCAAGGCAUCGACGGGUAGCUGGUCUGAGAGGAUGAUCAGCCACACUGGGACUGAGACACGGCCCAGACUCCUACGGGAGGCAGCAGUGGGGAAUCUUAUGCAAUGGGCGAAAGCCUGACACAGCCACGCCGCGUGCGGGAAGAUGGCCUUCGGGUUGUAAACCGCUUUCAGCAGGAACGAAAAUGACGGUACCUGCAGAAGAAGAUGCGGCCAACUACGUGCCAGCAGCCGCGGUGAUACGUAGGCAUCAAGCGUUGUCCGGAUUUAUUGGGCGUAAAGAGCUCGUAGCGGUUCAGCAAGUCGGGUGUGAAAACUCUGGGCUUAACCCAGAGCCUGCACUCGAAACUGCUG